GUUCUCGUGUUGCUUGAUAGUGCAGCACUAAGUGGGUGGUAAACUCCAUCUAAAACUAAAUAUAACCAUGAGACCGAUAGUAAACAAGUACCGUGAGGGAAAGUUGAAAAGAACUCUGAAUAGAGAGUUAAAUAGUACGUGAAACUGCUUAGAGGUUAAGCCCGAUGAACCUGAAUAUCCGUUGUAGAAAAUUCAUCAUCAUGAUUUUAAUAUUUAUAAUAUUAAGAAAAUGGUGUGCAUUUUUUCUAUAAGGACAUUGUAAUCUAUUAACAUAAAUAAAUUUAUCAAAAGAUCAUUAGCGAAUGUUUAUUUGAAUUAUUUUGCUUGCAAUUUAACAUAGAAUAAAUGCUUUUGAUUUGAUAAAGUGUUGAUAGAUUUAUAAUAUAUAGUGCUUAAAUAUAUAUAUUUUAUAAUGGCAUAUUCAUAUAUGUUUAUUAUAUGCACUUAUAUGAUUAACAAUGCGAAAGAUUCAGGAUACCUUCGGGACCCGUCUUGAAACACGGAA
This 505-nucleotide ribosomal RNA is filed under the name Lypha fumipennis. RNAcentral's name for it is "partial large subunit ribosomal RNA". It matches the Rfam family "Eukaryotic large subunit ribosomal RNA", at positions 259 to 664 of the family's 3401-position model. The record is from RNAcentral. Lineage: Eukaryota; Metazoa; Arthropoda; Insecta; Diptera; Tachinidae.